RNAcentral lists this small RNA (355 nucleotides) under uncultured fungus. Its description in RNAcentral is "eukaryotic LSU rRNA". The stretch from base 1 to 104 matches the Rfam family "5.8S ribosomal RNA", at positions 51 to 154 of the family's 154-position model. Lineage: Eukaryota; Fungi. The record is from RNAcentral.
AAAUGCGAUAAGUAAUGUGAAUUGCAGAAUUCAGUGAAUCAUCGAAUCUUUGAACGCACCUUGCGCUCCUUGGUAUUCCGAGGAGCAUGCCUGUUUGAGUGUCUUGAAGUCAUCAACCCCUCCCGUUUCGUGCGAGAAGGGUUGGAUGUGGGGGCUCUGCUGCCGUUGAGGCGGCUCCCCUCAAAUGCAUCGGUUGGGCCUGUGGGUCGAACUCGACUGGGCGUUGUACCAUCCUCGCUCGACAGAGACGUUCCCCUUUCUGCGCCCUUCCCCGACCUGCCUAUCGAGAGUGGCGGUCAAGCAACAAACUUUGAAAUCUGACCUCAAAUCAGGUAGGACUACCCGCUGAACUUAA